Molecule: long non-coding RNA, 1643 nt
Organism: Mus spicilegus (steppe mouse)
Lineage: Eukaryota; Metazoa; Chordata; Mammalia; Rodentia; Muridae
Source: Ensembl
AUGGGCUCAGGCAGGCACCCACCAUGCUGCUCAGCAGAAGUCAUUGUUUCCAUUGGCACAGAUGAAGAAACAGAGGCUCAUGUUGAGAAGCCAGAGUCUACCAGUGGAGUGAGUGUCAGCAGCAGGGGCUAUCAGGCGGGGCAGGGUCCGGGGGAGUCUGCAGCGUAUAGAGUCUCUGAGGAAGGACAAGGCUGCUUCCCAUUGCACCGGGCAAUAUGUUCCUUAUUUCCAUCCCACUUUAUCGGAUGCAUAAACUGGAUUGUCUGCUCAGCUACGGGCUCAGGGUCAUUAUCAGCUCAUAACCUCUGCUUUCAACUUCUUAGUCCUAACGGAGUUUCACGCCGACCGAGCCGUGGCCAACCUGGCACCGCCCCCCCCCCCAACAAAUUCUUAGUGCCUCUAUCUUCUUUAGGUCCUUAGCAAGGAGACUUAGUAAGCCAGGAGUGGCCACCCCACAUCCUGUUAAGAAAGCAGGAAAGAGUUUCACUGCACUGGGAUGCCUACUGAUACAGCCAGCACCCUCUUGUCCUGUUCUUGGAAAGUUCACUCGUUCUGCUGUGUGGAAACUGAGGUUAAAGGAGUAACAGGCUGGAGGCCAAGCAGUGUGAUUGCAGGGUGGGGCAUAGGGGAACCAGGCUCCCUGUGCAUCUCUGACCCCAGACGCUACUGGGUCAUUAUAGCUCUGGGCUGGGUGUAUCUCAUCUGUGUACCCAUGGUGUGUUGUCCACAGGGAUUAUGUGGCAAAAGGUCUCUAAUUUGCUAGCUUUGGUCAGCAGAGGUGCUGUGGGCUCAGGCAGGGAAAAGGCAGAGUCCUAUUUGAGAGCAAGCCAAAAAGAUGACGGUGUGUGUGUGUGUGUGUGUGUGUGUGUGUGUGUGUGGUGGUGGUGGUGUGUGUGUGGGGGGGUCCUGCUUCUCUAGACCUUGAAAUGGCCCCUGAUGCAAAAUAUCAAGCUUCCGUAUAGCUUUAAAAGGAGAACACUGCAUUCUGAGUCAUGCAGAAUGUUCCAGGAGCUUAUGAUAAACUCUUGUCCUUCCUAGGGCUCAGUUUUCCUGUGAGCAUUUUGUUCCUGCUCUCAGUCUUUUCCAACUGAGCUAUGAUAACGAGAUCGCUUCCCAGGCUUCACGAGGUACAAGGCCAAGCCUAAGAAAUCUUAGCUACCUGUGAAGAGUGGAAAACUCAAUGAGCUACCCUUGUCAAGGGACAGUUGAUGCCUACUUUGCUUUCUAUUGCUGUGAUAAACACCAUGACCAAAAGCAAUCUGGGAAGGAAAGGGUUUGUUUUGGAUUACAGUGAAAGACGUUAAGAACUGAAACAGGAACACAGAGGCAGGAACUGAGCAGAGGCCAUGGAGAAGCAUUGCUUACUGGCUUGUUCAGCCUGCUUUCUUCUAUAACACGGGGCUCUCCAGGGUGGCACUACCCCAUAGUAGGCUGAGUGGAGUCCUUGCUGAGUAGCAGGGACUCCAGGGGUUUGUUCCAUCCAUCCAUCCAUCCAUCCAUCCAUCCAUCCAUCCAUCCAUCCACCCUCCCAUCCAUCCGUCCACCCAUACAUCCACCCACCCAUCCAGUCAGUCAUCUAUUCCUCCCUCACACAUCAAUCAUUAAUCAAAAAAUAAAGAAUUCCCUAUAUUUGCCUAUGUCCA